CGCCGAGCUGCCGUGCUCUCAGCCUGGGAUGGAAAACACAAGCGGGCGGCUGCGACCCAGCGGGGAGCGAGCGUCUCCUCGAGCCGAGCUGUGCUCUGGCAGUCCUUGAUGUGCCCAGCCCUGCAGUGCACCCUAAGCCAUGGAUAGAACACAGAGGGAUGGAAGGAUGCCCUGAGGGACGCGCUGUAGAACUGGAAGGGCACCCAGGGGCCAUCGGAAUGGCUGCGCUUGUAAAUGGCGAAGCUCUCGGGGCGACUGGUGUGG
Non-coding RNA from Meleagris gallopavo (turkey), 264 nucleotides. Lineage: Eukaryota; Metazoa; Chordata; Aves; Galliformes; Phasianidae. The record is from RefSeq and is a predicted model, not a curated record.